Molecule: RNA transcript, 2089 nt
Organism: Thunnus maccoyii (southern bluefin tuna)
Lineage: Eukaryota; Metazoa; Chordata; Actinopteri; Scombriformes; Scombridae
Exons: 7
Source: RefSeq, a predicted model, not a curated record
AUUUCUUCUCAGUGUAGAAGGUGAAAUCAAAACCAAAAACGUCUUAGAAUAUAUGAGUUGAUGUCGCAGUAAAUCCUGAUUACCACCUUCAGGGCCGGCCAUGACUAUGUUGGUGCCAUGGCAAGAUUUUCGAUUGAAUCACCCAAAAAAGUGCAACAAUGGUACUUCCAGCCCAGACAAAAAGACAAGUUGGGAUCAAGGUACAUUCAAGAGUGUUUGAUGGCAUGGCCUGAGGUACCACAUGAAGUUUGGUGGCUGUUGGGUGAAAACUGACCAACCAAUAAGGCUUUGAAAAACAAACCUGAUGAAAACCUACGCAAUUUAAUGAGGGAAAAGAAGAAAAACAUUGAGAUGGGAGAACAAGUGCACAUUUCCAAAAACUGUAAGCAAACAAACCUGUCAGUAAAAAGAAAACAAAAAAACAAAUAUCCCACUCAUUUGGCCUAAUUAGUUUCCCUAGGCCUAUGUGGCCUAUGACAGGAGCCACUCUUGAUCCCCUUUAGUGAUUGUGUUGUUAUGCUGUUGAGAAUAAUGUUUUAUCAUUGACAGUAACAUCCGUUGCUUGUUAGCUUGUACUGUAAACAUGUUCAAUUAAAAAUCAACUGUUGAGUUGAUUGGAUGAACCUGCAGACUGGUUGGGUCUUGGUGGAACGUGAUUGGUCACUGCUGAAUUUGGCGGUUUGCUUAAAUGGACAAUGCCCCGCCCACUCGUAAUGCCGUUAAUUUUGAAAAAGAAAAGAGAAAUGAAUCGUAAAAAAAGUCAAGGCACACUGCCUCCUCAAGGUUUAUCCAGCAGAUGGCACCAUGAUUAUCAGCCAGCUGAAGACUCAGCCUCUUCUCAGCAACAGCUGGAGCAGAGACAGCUGCAACUCAGAGUCCAAGCUUCAUAGUUUUUGCAUGGAGAGAAGAUAACGUCAUGGAUCAGGCUGCUGUCAUCAUGACUGCAGUUAAUCCUGAGCUCCUCUCUCCCCUCCUUCACAACCUGAGAAGAAGACUGUUCAAAGGUGGAGCAUCUGCAACUUUUUAGCCUAUAUGUCAAAUGACAGAUGGCUAAGUUCCUCUCCUCAUACACCACACCUCCUCUUCCCCACCUUCUUCCUCCACUAGCAACUGAUCUUGUGACUGACAAAAAUAUUUUUUUCAGCCUGCCUCUGCCUCUUUAGUGAACUCUUUUCUUUUUUUUUUGACUGAUUACCAAUGUAUGCAUAUUUUCUUGGUGCUGUGGUUUUAAGUCAUGAAAAAUGGCUGAUUGUAAAGCUGGAAAAUGUAAAAUGUAAAGUUUUUCAAGUGUUAACUAAACUAAACUAAAACCCUUUCUAACAGUCUAAGUCCAAAGCUGUUAAAACUAGAGCUUCAUGUACUGAGUUUUUUUUUUUGGUAAUUGAGUUAUUUAAUAGUAUAACAAUUUAAUAAUCACUCCUGACCCCCUUUAGUGUUUGUGUUGUUUUGUUGUUGAGAAUAAUGUUUUAUCAUUGACAGUAACAUCCGUUGCUUGUUUGCUUGUACUGUAAACAUGUUCAAUUAAAAAUCACCUGUUGAGUUGAUUGGAUGAACCUGCAGACUGGUUGGGUUUUGGUGGAACGUGAUUGGUCACUGCUGAAUUUGGCGGUUUGCUUAAAUGGACAAUGCCCCGCCCACUCGUAAUGCUGUUAAUUUUGAAAAAGAAAAGAGAAAUGAAUCGUAAAAAAAGUCAAGGCACACUGCCUCCUCAAGGUUUAUCCAGCAGAUGGCACCAUGAUUAUCAGCCAGCUGAAGACUCAGCCUCUUCUCAGCAACAGCUGGAGCAGAGACAGCUGCAACUCAGAGUCCAAGAUAUUAACUUUACCUGCAGCCCAGAGCGUAUAAAAAAUCAAGGCGGUGAUGCCUGGAAUCAUUCUGACUGGGGAAGAGGAAAUGAAAUGAAUGAAAAUACAAUGAGCCCCUUGAGAUCUGUUGGGAGGAAAUGACAUCAGAUCAGCGUCAGAGUUAAAUAGACGAGGACACACAAAAGGAAGUCUACAGGAGUCGUUAGUAGCAUACAUGAUGUCGAGUAGAGCUGCAAUGAUUUGUUGAUUAAUCGAUUAGUUGAUCAACAGAAAAUUAACUGCCA